GACAGUGGCUCAGCUGUCAGGGAUAUCCAUAUGGAGAACUUUACUAUUUCGGUGGGUGGUCGUGAUCUCAUCCAAGAUUGUACUGUGACACUUUCAUUUGGAAGACACUAUGGUCUUGUUGGCAGAAAUGGUACUGGUAAAACAUCUUUCCUUAGGCAUAUGGCCAUGCAUGCCAUUGACGGUAUUCCCAAGAACUGCCAAAUUCUCCAUGUGGAGCAGGAAGUUGUGGGUGAUGAUACAACAGCUCUGCAGUGUGUCUUGAGCUCGGAUGUUGAAAGGACCCAG
Molecule: unclassified non-coding RNA, 285 nt
Filed under: Hevea brasiliensis (rubber tree)
Lineage: Eukaryota; Viridiplantae; Streptophyta; Magnoliopsida; Malpighiales; Euphorbiaceae
Source: RNAcentral